GGUUUUUUGUGGGUGAUGAAAAAUCUGACCUGCCCAAUGGGGGGAUUGAAUGGCCGCAGUAUUUUGACUGUGCUAAGGUAGCAUAAUAAUUAGUCUUGUGAUUUAGGACUGGUAUGAAUGGUUGGACGAGGGACGAACUGUUUCUAGGAAAUUAGUUGAAUUUGGUGAUGUUGUGAGAAGGCAACUGGAGAGUUGAGGGACGAGAAGACCCUAUUGAGUUUUACAGUAGUUAAAGUUUUAGUUUUUAUUUCUAUAAGCUUUAGUUUGAUUUAUUGUUUUGCUGGGGCGGUGCUGAUGAGAUUUAAUCUUUUAGUUGAAUGUAAUAUUGGUUUAUUGGACUAUGGAUCCAAGGUUUUUCUUGAUAAGUGGAUUAAAUUACUGUAGGGAUAACAGCGUAAUUUGGUCAGAGAGUUCUUAUUGAUGAUUGAGUUUGCGACCUCGAUGUUGAAUUAAAAUAUCUGUUUGGUGAAGAAGCUAAGUAAGAGAGUCUGUUCGACUAUUGAAUUUUUACA
RNAcentral lists this ribosomal RNA (512 nucleotides) under Paraphrynus robustus. RNAcentral describes it as "partial large subunit ribosomal RNA". It matches the Rfam family "Bacterial large subunit ribosomal RNA", at positions 1887 to 2600 of the family's 2925-position model. Lineage: Eukaryota; Metazoa; Arthropoda; Arachnida; Amblypygi; Phrynidae. The record is from RNAcentral.